GCUGGAAUGGCCGAGUCGUUAAGGCGAGUGAUUUGAAUAGGUGCCCACAAGCACUGAUAGGUUAUCACUUGGUGUUUCACCGCGUAGGUUCAAAUCCUGCUUCCAGCG
RNAcentral lists this transfer RNA (108 nucleotides) under Leucoagaricus sp. SymC.cos. It matches the Rfam family "tRNA". Rfam says of the family: Transfer RNA (tRNA) molecules are approximately 80 nucleotides in length. The record is from Rfam by way of RNAcentral. Lineage: Eukaryota; Fungi; Basidiomycota; Agaricomycetes; Agaricales; Agaricaceae.